UUUGGAUUUAAUACUGUAUUCUCAAAGUAUUGUUCAUAUUGAUAGUUAUUUUACUGUUUCAUUUUGAGUGACAGUUCUGAGGCUCUUGAGGGAAAUACUCUGAGUUAGAAGAACAGUGCUUCUAUUUUCUUUCAUGAAUCAGAAGUACCUCUUUCAUUUCUUGCAUGAUGUUGUCAAGACAACAGUGUCCUAAAUUGCACUUAUACUGUUCACCACAGUAUUCUGAAGCACACAAUAUUUUGGAGAACCACAGUGUUUUGGAGCAACUUUUAUUGUGGAAAUAUUUCUAAACUUGAGCAGCUCUCCUUUUCCUACCUAUUUUCAAAGUAUUUAAAAUCUGUGUUACCUGUAACUCAUUUUUUCCUGGUUAAAAAUUGCUUGGCAUUUAAGAUCUACAUCAAAAAUCUUCUGUGUUUUUUUUUUUUUUGUUGUUGUUCGUAUGAGUGUGAGAAUAUUCAGAGUAUGUGCUAAAUGUUCAAACAAAAAAUGCCACAUAUGCAAAAUAAGGAUUAAGGAUCUAGAAGGAAAAUUACAGAAAUGAAAAACACUGAUUCUCUACAACUAUGAUGCCUCAGAAAUGUGUGACAUUUUCUAUUAUUCUGUAGUGUGAUUACUUUAUACAUUCAUAUACUUGUGCAGUGUGGCCAACAUUUUAGUAACUUUUCUUUCAGCAAUUUGGCCCUUUUACAGGCUCAGCUAAUGUUGCACUAACAUGCUUUUUUAAUAUUUAAUUUCCUUGACUGAAUCUAUAAAACAAAGAAGAGAAAGUUUAAAAUAACAAGAAGUACACUGACCUAAAUUCACUUCAAAGUUUAUGCUGGCUUCUGCUGUGUACUGUUAGCAGAGGAGCCAGAAGUUUUUUGGUGAAUGCAUCAGCAGAAAUACUUGUAGUCUCUCUUCUUGUGAAAGAGUCAUGCCAGAACAGGGCAGGCCCAGAAGGACUGGCCAUGAAGAAGUGGCAGCAAGGUUGGUGCCGGCCUCUUCAGACCUUUUCUUUCCUGGAGAUGUGUAAUCUUGUUGAUCAGAAGGUUUUUGAUAGUAAUGCUUAAGGAUCCUGACAAUAUGAAUCCUCCUAAGAAAUUCUGAGCAUACACUCAAAGUUGGAUAAGAUGAAAAAAAUGUUAUUGAAUUUAGACCGAGGACUUUGAUUACUGGAAUAAUUAACACAAGAAUAAGAAUGUGUGUGGUAAGAUUCAGAUCAUGGCUACAAAAGUAUUUGUUAUCAUUUCCAUAUCAAAAUUAGCACUGUCCAGAAAUGAGAGAUGAAGAACCAGCUUAUAUCAAGCCUCUGCCACCCCACUCCAAGGCCAUAGCAAUUCAUUCCAUUUUAGGAAGAGCAUCCUAUUCCAAAUCACUCCUACUCUUUCUUCAGGUAACUAGAGAGCUCUUCUGUGGAAAAAAAAAAAAAAAAAUACAGCUCAGGAGUCAUGUUAGAAUUAGUUCUUACCUACGUAUAAAAACCAUCCACAGAUGUCACCUGCUAGAAAUUCCGUGCUGAGAUUGCAAAGACCAGCACUUCUAUGUUAGGAAAUGUCAUAUUUAUAGCUGCCAACAGAACCUUAAGUUAGCCCCUUUCUAUGUUAAGAUAUACUCUUUAAUUGCAUAAUCACAUACUACUUUUUCCAAAGGACCUCUGCCUCACCCAGGGCACAGGACCUACAAGAGGGCUGCGGAGAGGUUAUGCAGGCAGACAUAAAUCUGUCACUUCCUAAAUUGGCUGUGCUUGACUUUGCAGCCUAAAUAAUUUUGCUUUCAGGGAGGUGCAUACAAUUUAUAUAUUUUAAAUCUUAAAUCAUGCUAGAGAACCAUUCUGUAAAUGGUUUCCUUCGGUGGGACUUUGGACAUCAGCUUGAAGACUCCUGAAGGAGGCAUAGUUAAGAAAUUAAUAAUCCAGUAAACACAGCCUCUAUGCAUUUUAAACAUGCAUAGACUAACACUUCAUUUGCUCUCAGUUUGGAGUGUCACAUGGUGUUUCAAGUGCUAAAAGAUUUACUAUGGUUUAUGGCUCAAAUAUUUCUAGGUCAAUUUGUCAUUUAGCACCAAACUACCCUGUCCUGCAGCACACUCAAAGGCUAAAGAGCAUGGAAGCAUUCUCCUGCGUAACUGCCCAUGGACUGGAAUAGCUUCUGUGACCUUUCUCUUGCUCUUAGGAUAUUUCAUGAAAUUAAUUAUUAAAAUGCUAGGCCUUAGGUCUAUCUGUGAUGUAAUGCUUGAAGUUUUCAGAGCAAAACCAGAUUCUUUCAGUCAUAACAAUUUUUAUAUAUUAAACAGUAUCUACUUGAAAAGAGAGAUCCUUCAGUGUAAUUGUGCUUUUUUAAUCAACUGUAUUACCACUUUGCCCUUCUGCAAAGCACUAUUAACUAAGUGCAUUUCCAUUAAAUUUCAAAGUAUACCUUAGUCUUUCUGACUGGAUGUUACUUUCAAAAUACUCAAGUUCUGGCAAGUAUGACCUCAGGUGCAAACAAAACUUUAUUUGCUAGAAAUAAGCUAUUUAGUUGUGAAGCUUUGAUUAUGGUUCCACAAUUAAAGCAUUUGGACAUGACUGCAGUGAGUGGGAUGAAACAAGUACACAGCAAAUAAUGAGCAGGAAACAAAAACAGGUAAAAAGAAUGAAGUUUGCGGGAUAGAUCGUCACAUCUAAUUCUGCUAACAUUGCAAAUGGCAGAACAUCUUUCCUGGUCAUUUCAUGUCCUCCUUCAGACAGUUAAGUGAGGAGAAUGUUAUGGCAGUAACAAGAAGAACUUGUCAGAAGAACAAGAAAGUUUAACGGGAAGGAUUUUGGAAAAUAUCUGCCCUUGUUUUGCACUGAAUGUUAAACCACAACUAGAGGCUGGAUAUCUAUCCAUAGUUAACAGCAAUCAGAAUGAGUCUUCAGGCCAAGAGACUUGUGUUUGAGAGGUGGCCAAGUCAAUGGUCACGUCAUUUGUGAAAAGAAUUUGCUAUGGAAUUUCCUAUUAGUCUGUCAAUCAGAACAGAAACUAUUAUUGAGUGGCAAAUGCAUUCAGACGCAGCUCCAAAACUGAUCCUGCAAGGAGAGAUCUUUUAUGAUCAAAGUUUUCAUAGCCUCAGUAAUUGUUGAUUUUGAGUAGAGAUUCAGCUGUGAAAAACUGAAAACUUUCUAUGCAGUUACAUGCCUGGUACAUAGGAUAGAUGAACAAUAUAUCUAAAGACCUAAAGAUGAGGCAGCACUGAAAGAAUCCUUCAUUUUUCUUGUUCCAAUUUCUCUCCAUCUGGGUUUACUAGAUUACCCAACAAAUAUGAACUAAUAUUCUAGUCUGCAGAGAGUUCUCCUCCUCAUGUUUGGAGAAACUAGGGAUUUCAUAACAGUUUUAUGAGAUGAGUUUAGAGUUGCUCUUUGGAAAUGUGUUUUUAAACAGAGGAUGUGUUUUAUCUCUCUUUAGAACAUAUUUUCUUGUUUAAACUGGCAGAGAACUCAUUAUUUAAGCAGUGCGGAUCCAGGGCCCAAACUGCGUUGACCUUAAAUAGAAUCCUUGUGAAGACAAUGCUGAAACAGUGAAGCUCAGUUUUGUGUUGAAGACCAGGGUCAGUGAGAAGUAUUUCAGUUGUUAUGCUAUCCUGAUGUAGAAAGCAAAUGAAAGGCUUCUGUGCAUUGUACUGACAUGAUUUGUCUGAAUGAAUGCAGACACAUCAUGACCUGAAGUUGUGCUUAGAGGGGUGUGAAUAUAAAAGAGUCUGUUGAUGAUGGAAGCCUACCACUGCUUUUGGAAAGAUCCCAGCAUAUCACAGUGAAGUUAUGCAACUAAUCUUUUGCUAUUUAUUGCAACCUUUUGCUAAUCUAUUACAUCAUUGUAAUGAUGUGGUACAAAAUAGGAUGGUUUAUCAGUAUAUUCAAAGCUUGUGAACAUGACAGACAACAUUAGAGGUUAUCAUCAGUGUUAGGUCAGGAACAUGGAAUUGGAGCUGCCCUAAAGAUGCAGACAAAGGCAUACAAUUUGUGGCCUAUUGUGGGACAUGCAUAUUAUAUUACGAUGAGUAUUUGAGUUUUCUGUUAGGCUACUCCUUAUGCAAUACAUGUAAAAGAGAAGCAUAUAACCAAAAACAGACCUAACAAGAAAAAAUGAUUACAGUAUCUGACAAUAUCUAAGACCUUGUGCUCAUGCAGGACUUGAGGAAAACAGAGUUCUCAUGAAAAGCAGAAUUGCAGAUUUGUUUUUCCAUUAACUCAGUUGGUCAAAGAGUGAGGAGGUGACACCUAACAAGUUGCCUGUUUUUAUUCCUGUUCUGAGAUGGCCACUCAUUCUCUUCAUUUACUGCAUGGAAGCUUGCAUCUUUUUUAGCUCUGUGUACUCUAUAGCCAAGGAAGGUGCACCUAGCACAUCAGGCAUUAUGCCCCCAAAUAUGAAACAUUCUGGGGCCUUAAAUGGAUGUAACCCUUAGUUUAGAAAGUCUUGAAAGGGUAAAAAUGUUACUGUCACUCAAAUAAUCACUUGUGGCCAAAGCUCAUAGCUACUAUCAGGCAGAGCCUAAGCAGCCCCUGGGACUUUAAAGGCAAAAUGUCAAGGGUAGAUCUAAACCAUACAGUUAUACCUGAGGUCAGCUAGACAUACCCAGCUUAGAUGGUAUUUCUGCAUGAUUCAGACAUGAACCCCAGCAACUGUAUAGCUGCUUCAGCAUAGCAUUGUGUACAGGGGUUUGACUCACUCAGUAGAACCACUUGGUGUGAAAAAUCUCUAGUACAACUGUUCUGUUUGUUUGUUUGUUUAUUUAGGGGAGGAUGGGGUGGGGGAGGAAGGGAAGUGAAGGCAAUGUAUUCCCCAUCUGAAGUUUGUUGUUCAAAAUUAUUUCUGCCAUUUGAAAAGUGAUUUGCCUAUUGUUUAGGCAGUAAUUUAUGUCAGUUAUUUAAAAGGACUUAGCACAAGUAUCACAUUUUUCAUGCUUCUGUGCUCCUUGAAAGAGAAAGGGAUUUAGAGAAAUGCUGAGAUUUUUGAAGGAGGUCUGAAAACAAUGGAACCUUCCUGGAAAAAAAAUAAAUCAAUGUAAUUUGUUCAGUUCCUUUAGAAACCUAGCCUCUGCCUUCAGAGUUUUCUCAACAGGCUAUAUUUUUUCUCAACCACUAGCAAAACAAAGCUAAAGGCUUUCCCAAGGGAAAUCUGCUUAAGCCUGUUGCAAUGUCUGUGAGGAGUAUGGGUGCUGGUGGAGAGUGAUACAGGGAGGAACUGUGCUGUCAACAACAGGAAGUUGGUGAAAAAUGAGCAGUGCCCCUGGGGAGGUGAAUGCAGAGCAGAUGGCUCUAAUUGUGAGUCACACUGUGACAACUGACAAGAGAAAUUCUGCACUCUUGACACUUUAAAGAUACCAAAAAUACCAGAGAGCGCAUUCCAUGGCUUCUUGAAGACUUCCAUAUCGAGGGAGCUGGGGGGGGAGAGCUCCAACUCCUCCUGUUUCCAUCACUAAACAGCCCAUAAAAUUUGCUGUUGAUAAGCUUCCAAGCAGCCAAACAUUCUAAUACUUAGAUAAGUCACUAACGUUAAUAAAAACACUGAAGAAAUAAGAAGGAAGAGGUGAAAAGGGGAUUCAUGUGCAGGGCAGCACCAGUUGCUUUAGAUACUGAUCCUUUCAAUUAAGGGGCGGUUCUGGAUAAGAAAGGGGAAAGUAACAUCCUUGUUUAUAAGUACUGAUAGAUUUUGAAAUCUCUCUCUCUCUUUUUUCUUUUUUUUUCCAUCUGGUAUGACUGCAAACAUUUUCUUUAUGUAUUUCAAUUACUGCCCGGAUACAGAGUUGCAGAUUUAUACUGUGCUUCUUUAGUGGAGUAACAAAAAGUCAAGACCAGAAACCAUUCAUAUUUGGUUGAAUUUUUUUUUUUUUUUUUGGGGGGGGGGGUCAGGGAGGGUGGGGGUGGGGGUGGGAUGACUGCUUGGCUUGGGUAGGGCUGCAGAUGUCAACAAAGCUACCCCAGAAAUAAUUUCUUCUGCUGUAUUUGCUUGCUUAAUGCCCCUGCUUUAAGAUCAAUGCUAUGAUAGCUCGGCAGUCCAUUUCUCGAACAUAACCUGUUCUAUCCAAGUGCACCCAAAAAACAUAAAUCAGCUCUUUUAGUUGGAACCCGGUGACCAUUAAUUUCAGGCUGAGGCAUUAUUGUUAUUCUCUUCAUACCGUGCAAAAUAUUUCCCUGGAUUCUGACAAGGGGAGGAACUUUCAUAGUGUUAGAAAUAUUACUGGGAGCAUCUUGUUCCGACUGGAUUCAGAUCUCUGUUAUUUUGGCAUUCUCUUCUGCUUUUCAAAUUGCUGUUAUUUGAAAGUUACUAACAAUGGAAGAGUGCAUCUGAUCGCUUGGGAAGGCAGCUACAAUGCACAACUGUUCCUCCUACAGAUGUUAAGCUGCUGCUCAAGGUCAUAAAACAUUUGAAUGUCAUUUCUUGAAUAAGUGCUCAUGCUCUGAGGUGGAGGGUUAGCUCACGCAGGUCAUACAGUUCAGCAACUCUAAGUUCAGUCCAGAAUUUCUGCACUGGAGGCAUCCUUACCAUUUUCUAUAAUUAUUAUUUUCCUUUAUAUUAUACCAUUAUGAUAGACUGCAAAUUUUUCUGUGAUUUUUUUUUUCCUUGUGGGAUAAGUGCUAUAUAGAGACACCUGGCGCAAACUGAAUAAGUUACAUGGAGUUGUAGCAGUAGCACAUCCUUUGUGUUGCACUCUGCUUAGCUUAGCUUGGCUAAUUUGCUCUAUUAAGUGUCUCUGUAAAUUGUAGUACCUGCAGUAGUUGUGGCACUUUACAUGGCGUCAUCUGGAAAUCCCUCUAUGUAGCCUUGCUCUCAGAACUGCUACGUUACACCCCUGAGGUUGUGUACUUCUUCUGUCCAGUAAUUUUGAGUCACUAGCACAGCUUAAGUUGAGAAUAAUAUAAAUCCUUGGGCAUUAUAAAACAUGAAUGUCCCUUUGUAACUGCUCUCCCAGACCAGCAUUUGACUUAUUUGCUAGCAGUUAUUUUAUAUAAGGUCAACUGCUGUUGCCUUUGCUAAGAUUUUGUUGCCUCCGUGAAAAGCCCUGGAUUUACCACGAGUAGAAAUAAAACUACCAAAAUACUUGUGUUGUUAUGCUUUAGGUUUCGUGGUAGGUUGGGUAACACACAUGUAUAUUAGGCUACAUUUUCUGAAAACAUGAACAAGGUCACAAAGAGAUAUGCAGACGCACACAUCCUCCAAGUUUUCUAAGAUAUGCAAAACCCUGCCAUCAUUCUGUGGGAUCAGCAGUGCAAGAGAAGCCUACGGUGAUGAGGAGCCAAUAUGCAGGCCUCAGGGAGCCCCUACUUUCACAUUUGGUGUGAAUUCCAAAGCUUGCCUGUUGUGCUGUUAUUUAUUCCUGCUGGUCAUAAUGAAGGGGGAAAGGAACAAGUAUCAUGUUCACAAAUUUGGUUCUUGAAUCCUUGGCAGAAAUUUUGAGAUCACAGCUCUUCUGUCCUCUGAAAUGCUUUCACUUGGAGAAGUUGUAUGAUGUGGUGGAAUUUCUUUCUUCUUUAUAUCUGUGUUGGCUAAAACAAGACAGAGGAGCUUGAAAAGGCUCACCCUCCUCAAGGAAUGCUAUCUGAUUCGUAAGCAUUCCUAGAGGUUAAGGCUGGUGACUAUCAAGAAAGCAAAUACUUCACGCAAGGGUAAGUCCUCUAAUUGUGUUUGUGUUGAAUAGCUGCCAGAUCCCCAUGUCAGGAUGUCUGCAGUCACGGCUCUGAUCUCACCAUUCCUUCCUAGGCUGUUGCACAAUUGUGUUGCGUGUUUGUGGUAGGGGAGAAAGUUGGAGAGCUGAGCUAUGAAACCAUCUCGGGGAAGGAAGCCAUGUUUUAUUUUAGUUGCUUGGUUUGGAUAAAAGCCUGUAGGAGAUUGAAUAACAUAUAAAAACAUAAUGUGGCCCAUUCAUGGAAACCAAACCUGGUCUUCUGUGCAGAUAUGUGAAAUAUGAGGUUUAAUACGCAGGGUGGAAAAGGAAAUGUCAGUGAAAAUGUGUUCACUGGCAUAGUAGAAAUCCUAAUAUACACAAGUGAUAACUCACUGCCUGUUCUAUGGCGAAUCUCAUCUGUAGUUGCAGGGUCUGUUGGGCCUAGAAUUGCAAAUACAAUGAGGGAGCAUUUGGAAAGCUUGUUGUGAAUCUACCCUUCUUGUAAAUCACUUCAAGAUCUUUUGUGGAAGUCAAUUGAGACAAAACAGUGACAAAUAACAGGUUAAUUGUAAAAACAGAAAGAGACUUGGAGGUACUGCGGGCCAUGAGCUUAGCAAUAGCUAAAGAAGGAAGGAAUAUCACAGUUCCGUCCAGCCAGAGCAGAGGAGUUUGUGGGACUCUGAGCACAUGUAAGAGUUGAAGGCUGCCCUGGUUAAACAAACAUUCUGUUCCUGAGAGAAGACAGCAGUUGCCUUAGCCACAGAAAUGUUAAUUCAAAGUAAUAUCCUGAUUACUCUCAGAACUAUAAAUCUUUUUUAGAUGAUCAAGUUGUGCAUUACUGCUCUUUGGUUAGAACAAAGCAAAUUUCACAGAAGUCUAAUUUUACUACUGAAAAAAUAGUAGGCUGGGUGGAUCUAUGACUAUCAUGUCAUCUGACAUAAUAAAAGACUGUGAUCUGGUAGCAAUGGUUGAGGAGGAUGUCAGUUCCACUUCCUAAACCAAGAACUGGAGAAUUAUCCAGAGCAAUAAAGAACUUGUACAAAUAAUACUGGGGAAAUCAGAAGUUAAUCUGAAUACCAGCUCACUUAAUCUCAUCGGUAUGAAUAGCUCCCUGCCAGCUACUCCAUCACCUGAAACAGGGGUCAAGUGAUACACAUCAGUCAGUCCUCUCAUUAAAAAAAUCCACCACCACCAAAUCCUACCUUCCUCUGAAAGAGAAAAAAGCCAAAACAAAACAAAACAAAACCUUCGUCUCCAAAUCUCAAAUAUCAUCGCUCCUGAUAAGUACUAAAAUGUCCCUCAUCUCUCAAUUGCACUUCAUAUCCUGAGCUACAUAGAUUAGCUGUUAGAGAUAAGAAUAUGAAAUGUAAAGUGAUAUUAAUAAUCAUGUUGCAACCUGCUAGCCUCUCUCUCUGGCAGCUAUGCCUUGUGUUGUUUGUGCAACCUGGUCUAGUAAAUGGGGAGGUUGGUGGCCCUGCCCGGCAGGGGGGUUGGAGAUUCAUGAUCCUUGAGGUCCCUUCCAACCCAGGCCAUUCUGUGAUUCUGUGAUUUUGUGAUUCUGUGUUGUAAAUAGAGGUGGUCACUGAGUCGGCUCAGGUACAUAGGAUCUCACCGCAUGUCAUUCAGCAGCAUUAGCCCACAUGCACACCUUCAGGGAAAACAGUAUAAGUCAUCUCAGUGGAGAAAUAGAUUAUUAAAAAAAAAAAAAAAAAAAAAAAAGGAACAAGCAAGACAGAGCAGGAACAAGGAGAAAUACUAUGUUUGUACUAGCUUCCUCUGGAGUAGGAAAAGAAAAUUUGUCAGCUGAAAGUGGAAGGAAGGAAAGCAAACCAUAACCCUGGACUUUGAAAGGUGUCACCUAAUUGACAUCAAACUAUACAAAUUAUAUUUUGUUUCUUAUUAUCCUCACCACUUGUAGAUACAUAUUAAAGUUUUUGCCAAGACAGUAUUUUCCUGCCCUUUCUUUUUAGUAUGGGUGACAUUUUGCUGUCCCAAAACAUAGGUAACACCUACCAGCGGUGUUAAAAUACCACUUGCAGUAAGAAAAGGUUCCUGAAACAAUACUGUGGUGUUUGAGUCAAACAUUUGUUUUCAGAGAUCUACAUGGUAUUUUUCUAAAUUUUUGGGAAGGCACAGAAGAUGACCUUUGUGCUUUUCUUGGUAACUGAGAGAAAGAAGGAUUGAGUCAUCUGCACUAUAAUGUAGAAUUAUUCUUUAGGUUAGAGGCUGCCCACAGAAAAUCUGAUUUGUUUUCCUUUCUCUAGACUUUUUUCUUCAUGUGUUUUAGAUUUAAACUAAUGUAAACUAAUUAGAAGCAAAGGAGAAGACAACUAUAUUUAGUUUUAAUGUAUUUUUAAUUUUAUUUUGUAAUAUAGAAGCAGAGGUUAUUUCCUGAAAUUGACCAAGGUAUUCUUAGCUUGUUUUCUUGACUUCACACUUAGAUAAAAAUACUGUAAACUGAAAUCACUUGGGAAAAAUGCCUUCUUCACACUCAAAUUGUUAUUCAUCAUCACUCUACCUAAGAAAAAAAUACCACAUGUAUUUGAAUGAGCCACCGGUAACUUAAAUUUAAAUGAUUCUACAAUUGACAGGAAAGGCCUUCUGUGGAACAGCUGCCUUUAGCAGUGUAUGUGUGUUUAUAUUCAUGAAAAGUCUACAGCCAAACUAGAAGCAAUUCAAAAUGACUGUAGUGAAACUUUGCUCUUUUAAGAAAUUAUAUGGUCAAAGGAAAAAAAAAAAAAAAAAAGGAGAAACAUAUAAAAUCGGUUAAUUUAGAUUGUUAUUUGUGGAGAACAGAUUACUGUUUCACUUUGUGUUUCUCUGUGAGUUAUCGCUCCUUUUUCUUUCCAAACAUAAACAACCUUUCUCUCUCUUUCCACUCUUUGAAUUUCAAAGGGGAGAGUGAUGGGAUGAAGACUUUUUUUUCAGUUGAAAUGCCGAGACAGUAAUGAAAGAAAAUAUUCUAUGCAUUCUUGGAAAGCCAAACACCUGCUAUUGAAAGGGAAAUUAUGGCCAAGAAAAAGAAAAAGAAAGAAAAGGAAAAAGGAACAGGUGCAGUUAAUGGGCCAGACUAAAGUAUCAUGGGAGAUUUUCAAAUCCACAGAUGAAUUUAGCUGUACCAUUUCUAAGUAUUGUUUACUUCAGUUUUCUAAGUUUGCAAUUUUCCUUGAAUAUGAGUUUCAGGGGGAAGUCCACUUGAAAUAAUUGUAGAUUUUUUGGAGAAAAAAGAAAAAAAACGCCAUAGAAUAUAACAAGAAUAAAUGCCAGCAUACACUAAUUUUCCACUGUAAAAACAAUACACUGGAAAAUAUUACCAAGCAUUGUCAGUGAGAACAAGAAUAGUGUAGCCUUACGCCUCUGCUUUUUAUUUCAUUAUUUUUAUUUCAAAAACGUCUUUGAAUGGAGAAUAAGGUCUGAGCAUUUGUCCCACACAAGCAACAGGAUCUUUUUUUUCCCUUUGUUUGUUUAAGAGAACCCAUACUCCUACCUACACUCCCUGUGGGGAGUAUUUAUCUAAAGAUGUACUGGAGAAUAGUAAAUUUAUAAAAAAGUAACUCUGUCAAUGCAUGAAAUCAUUACAUUAUUAACUAAAAUGUCUUUUAGUCCCCUGCAUCCCUUCCUCCAAGGAUAUGCAUGCAUUGAUAAACAUGCAUUGAUUCUGUGAAACACGACUUUCAAAGUUUUGCAAUUAUACAAAAAUUACUUUGUACUGUAGAAUUAAAAACCCUCUACCUUAUUAAUGGAAAACUCAUGCUCAUCUCAAGGUCAAAUUCACACAUUGUGCUGAUCAACACCCAGCAAAUCCGUUUGGUUAGUUGGUGUCCAUAAUACUAUUCUACAUCUUUCAUUCUUGCCCAUAUAUAUUUUGUAAGGUCUACCAGUGAUAUAUUUUAUUGACGUAGUUUUGCCUUAUUCUAAUGGAUAUAGUAAGGGAGCUUUUUUAUCACAUAUUCUAUCCUUAGCAGACUCCCUUUAUAUUCAAUAUUGAUUUUUUAAAAAGUAUUAUUUUUUAUUUUUUUAUUUUUAUUUUUUAUUUUGUGAACAAACCUGUGUAGUCAAAAAUGCUAACUGCUUUUCUUGGAUUGUUUUGUUAUUACUUCUGUUUUCCAUGAAUUCGUAUGUUCUUCCAGCACAAUAAUGCAUUGCACAUGAAUUCAAAGUAAUAUCAAUAACUGUGCUGUCUAUCUCUUUUGUUCCAGUGAUUCACUUUACUUAGGAACAUCUAUGUGGAUGUAGUCGUUACCCCUGAGAUAAUAUCACACACUACAUUCCUUCAUAAUAAUGGAUUUUAAUUUGAAAUUAUGGAAAAAUGAGCUGAUCAAAAAUAACCCAUAGGCGAUGGAAUGAACUACAUAUAAAAUCGUCAGCAGGUCUAAAUUAAUCUGUCUCUCUUUUCUACAGAUCAGGGUGGAUUUUUUUUUUCUUCCUUUAAAAAAAAAAAACACACACAAAAAUAAAAAAAAAACAACUGUUCUUAACGCUUGAACAAAUCCCUUUUUCUUCCCCUCGAUAAUGUGGUUAACUGUCUGGAAUGUGAGCCACUGGAAAUUCUUCCCCACAGAAGAAUCCCCAUUAAGCUUUCAAGCAGACUUACUUCAUCCCCACAGCUGCAUGGAUAGAAGACUUUCUAGUGCCUAAAUACUUACUGUAUAUGUCAUCCUUAAAUUUAAUUUUUUUUUUUUUUUUCCCAGCCAGAGCUCUAGGAGCAGGUGCUAGCAUUUUGCUUCCUUUCUGCUUCCUCUGUGGGGAACGGGCUAGAAAGAGCCAACUAAUUAGAAAAUUCUACAGGGAAAUCAAUUCUGCAAACAGCUGAGGAAUGGCAUUUCAGUAUAAUGCUCACUUUGUCUGUCAGCAGGGCCUUGGUUGACUUGACAAGUGGCAGUUCUUCCAGAUGUUACACAUGUUGGGAUAAGACCAGAACUGCAUCGUACAUUGCCCAUUCAUGAAAAGCUGUGAUGCUCCAAAAGAGUAAAUAAAAUAAAACUGAUGUUAACGACAUACUAUAUUGCUGUCACAAGACAACAGCAUGGUAUUUUAACAUGUGUUUGAGGUGCAGCAAUGAACUUACUUUUAGUGAUUUGAGUAUUGAGUGGUGUCUUUGCUUUCAUUCAGGGGUAAGGCAGAGGGGUGGGGGGUUAAAGAGACGUGCAGAACCAUUUAGUGUGAAAGGGCUAGAUAGUCAAAGUUAUGCUUGCAUAUUGUACACAUCUAAAAAAUACGUGCAGAUCUGUUAUGUGUCUGAGCAAAAAGCCACUUUUUUAAAUAGUAGCUGGUUAUGUGUACAUGAGAAUAGUCACAUCUGCAUACACAGGCUCCCUUGUUCAGAGGCACUGGUGACUUGAAGCUACAAGGAUUGCCUGUUUGUAAGGAGACUGUUGUGAGAUGUUCAAGGAAACAGCAUUGUCUUGGAGAAGAAGAAGAUUUGUCAGAGACUUUGCCAGUACCAGUUUCACCAUCUUAGUAUUUCUUAGUUACAGUCUAAAACUGCAUUUAGCCACUUACCCCAUCUUAAGUGAUGUGUCAGGUUCUCAGAUCUCUUCUCAAGGCAGCCAUAGACCUCUGCAACACUCAAGCCAAGAACAGCAUAAAAAGCACAGUCCUCUUCCCAACCACAUUCCUUAUCUGUUCCUUCCAACCCCCUCCCCCCCCCCCCCCAUUUUUCCUCAAGCUAUUUGUAAUGUGAGGCAGUCUUCAUCAGCAGACUUCUCAUGUACACCAUUCUCAGAUAGACUUGGCAUCCAUUGUCUCUGUCCUGCCAGGAGAUGGCCUUGGGCUUUGCUCAGCUGUGCAGAAGUAUUCUCCAGACUCCAGAUGUCUGGGAAUUUGCUCUGGACUUAAUAUAUAAAUAAGAGCUUGUGAGCUUGUGAGUAAUAAAGACCUUCUUUCCUAUCUUUUUUUGGUCCAAACAUGAUUUUGCAAUUCACAUUAUUAUGAAUAUUUCUUUCUGUGGCAGCUCAUUUGUUUUUCAGAUGUCUUAUUUUCUCUUCUUGAGCUCUAUGCUGUACUCCUUAUCUCCGCCAUGAGUAUUAGAAUCCUUUUCCCGCCUGUGUCUCCUACCAACUAAUUUGUCAUAUCUAAGAAUACAGUAACUAAUAUGCUUGUGUACAAGUCCCGUAAAGACACAUUACUUUUCUGUAGAUGAUAAUUUCCCAAUGUAUUUUCCUCUUUUUUCGUGUUGGUUCUACUGUAGCAUGAUCGUUCACUUUCUCUUCCUUUUUUCGCUUUCACCCUUUCUCUCUUUCCAUUUUUCCAUUACAUCUCAGAUUCAGUAAUACUGUGUCAAAAAUCUGUUUACACUUGAUUUUCUAACCUGUCUGUUCUCCCCAGCACAAUUACAGUGCUUAGCACAUUACACAGUAUUGGAUUCAAGAACUGUUUUUAAUAGUAAACAAUCCAUAUCCUAUUACCAGUUCAGUAUUAUUCAGCGUAAGUUGUUUGAGAAUUAUUUGUGUACUUUUUCUAUUAAAAAAAAUUCAAAGCUUUGUAAUGCUCAUGCUGAAAUGUAGCCAUCUUCCAGCACUAACUGCUAAACUAACUAAAGAACAUUGACUUCAAAAGAGUAAUUUGCACAAAUGAAGAUCACUCUCGUAGCUGAAAAUAAUAACAUUCCAUCUUUUGCCUUUAAGAUAAAUGAAGCCAAUUUCUGUACCUUUUAAAUUUACUUGACGUGAUAACAAUUACAGGUUUCCAAAUGAGAUAUAAUUUCUUGUGAAGCCAUUGAAAUUAAAUCACUACUAAGUAUUAACACCUUCCUUUUAUCUAGUUAAUCAUUGAAAAAAAGCAAACAAAACCUCUUUCCAUGUUUUGACUGAUUUCUAUAGCUACAUGUGUUAAGAAAUUGAAAGGAUUAAAAAGUGCAACCUCAAAAAGAGGUGCAUGGACUCUAAAAUGUAAGCAAUUUGCUAAUUCCAAGACCUGUUUUUGUUAGAGAGGCCCUUGUCUCCCCACAUGUGGAAGAUUUGCUUUGCAGUCACAUUUUCAGAACUAAUUGACUUUUUAAUUUUUAAGUCCUAAAUGUAUCACUGCUUGGCCGUUUUCCAAAAUGCAUUGUAAUAUAUCUGAUGCAUGUAUUAUGAAAAUUUGUCAAGUGGUCCAUGUUUAAAACAAAAGUGUGUUUGCAUUUAAGGAUAAAAUUGCAUUAUUAAAUAUUAUCAUCACCUAUUCUUCCCAGAAUUACAACUUUUAUUGCAGAAUACUUAGUAAUUACAGGAACACUGCCAGCUGAAAUUUUUGAAGUGAUUGUCAAAUGCUAAAUAAAAUGGAAAAGGUUUGAUAUUUAUUUUAUGUAAAUGUCCAGCUAGAUUGUCUUUAUACAUUGCCUACAUAAAAAUUCUUAGUGAUUUAAUUUUCUAUUUAUUGGCAUUCAGAUUUUCAAAACACCAACCGAGUUGAUGCGGAAAUUUCUUUUUCUUCCAAUGUGUGUCAAUGGAUUAAAUCCUAAAAGAAAAAAAAAGAAAAAAAAGAAAAAAGCUAUAUUACUU
This 15080-nucleotide long non-coding RNA is filed under the name Gallus gallus (chicken). The record is from RNAcentral. Lineage: Eukaryota; Metazoa; Chordata; Aves; Galliformes; Phasianidae.